This 497-nucleotide ribosomal RNA is filed under the name uncultured bacterium. RNAcentral's name for it is "partial 16S ribosomal RNA". It matches the Rfam family "Bacterial small subunit ribosomal RNA", at positions 28 to 507 of the family's 1533-position model. The record is from RNAcentral.
GAUGAACGCUGGCGGCGUGCCUAAUACAUGCAAGUCGAGCGAACAGACGAGGAGCUUGCUCGUCUCACGUGAGCGGCGGAUGUGUGAGUAACACGUGGAUCACGUACCUAAAAUACUGGGAAAACCACGGGAAACCGGAGACAAUCCCGGAGAAUAUACUGAAGCGCAUGGUUCAUUGGUGAAUUACGGCUUUGGUGUCAAUUAUAGAUGGAUCCGCGCCGCAUUAGCUAGUUGGUAAGGUAACGGCUUACCAAGGCAACGAUGCGUAGCCGACCUGAGAGGGUGAUCGGCCACACUGGAACUGAGACACGGUCCAGACUCCUACGGGAGGCAGCAGUAGGGAAUCUUCCGCAAUGGGCGAAAGCUUGACGCAGCAACGCCGCGUGAGUGAUGAAGGUCCUCGGAUCGUAAAACGCUGUUAUUAGGGAAGAACAGAUUUUGAAUUAACCAUGCACGUCUUGACGGUACCUGAUCAAAAAGCCACGGCUAACUACGUG